AAGGGGGAGCCCCCUCAGCAGCCGCCGAGCCUCCGCCGCGUAGCGCCCGCCUCACGCCGAGCCCGCAGCGGCCCCUGGCGGCCGGCCGGGCCCCGAGCGCCGCCGGGAGGGCGGGGGGGGGCUUCACCUGCCGCGGGGCUGCCCCAGGGGGUCGGGCAGGGGGGCGUGAGGCAGCUCCUGAGCUCUGGUGGCUCUUAGAGGCUCUGGGUCAUGCUGGUAACUCCGCGGUGAAAAAGAAGAGAGUUUCUGACAAGGCUGCUGCGGCAUUUGCCACACUCAAGGCGAGGAAAUGCUAAAUGGGGCAGGUGGAAACCCCACCUGACUUUUUUUUUCUCUCAUGCCCUUCAGCUUUGUUUUGUUUUCCAUCGGGAAAGGCCACAGAAUGCGUAACCCUGGAAGAAAAUAAAAAAAUACACUGAAGAAAUGCUGAUCGUUAAAUACAGGAGAGAACAAAGUAGUACGGGAGUGGAAGACUCGGUUGCGGUGCACUCGGACAUGGGGCUACAUAUUCAGGACAACACUCAAAAGGAUCAGUUUUUUUUGCGGAGUAAUGGAAAUGAGAAGACAGAGGCAUUCUCUCUUUGGCAUUAUGUUGGACAUCCUGGAAUGCUUUCUUAUGCAGGAAAGAGAACAUCCCUGCUUCCUCUACCAAAUCUGACAUCAGCGAUGUUUGAACUCUUCAAAGGAGAAAAGGCAAGAGUCGACAGGAACCAGCACAGUCAGACUCGUCUUUGUCCAGCACUGCCUUUUAAUUUGUGGGAGAGAACCAUAGGAGAGGUCACUUCAUGCUGUGUAUAUUGCUGACAUGCAGAGAUGGGAAAAACAGACAUACUCCUGAUUUCCUGUGAGAAUGACUUGCUAGAGCAGGAUGCUAUUCCAUUAAUGAAGCAGCCACACGGUUCUAGGGCAGCCCAGCAACUUUUGGUGUAAUAUUUAAAUCCUGCGUGCGUGGCAACAUUUUUUGUCAGCUCUGCUAGUAAUCUUAUUAAAUUUAUAGAUGUGUUGGAUCUUCAGGUUUUCAGUUUUUAAGUUACCAAAAUAAAAAAUAGAUCAAUCGUUCUCACUUAUUUGUGAACGUCCUAUUUUUGUCACAAUUGCCUUAUUUUAAAUGUAAAUGUCCUAGAUUUUGUUUUCUAACCUGAAAAAGAGGUGUAACACAGAAUAUCCAACAAUUAAAACUGUGCAAAAUACACUUUAAUGUUUCUGUACUCCUUCAGCUGUUACAACUUUGAAUUCCCCAAAUCAACAUAUGAAGCACAUGAAAGGUUUGGUCUAUUCUGCUUUACAGAUCAUUAAAAUGCACUGCUGUUCCUAGGAUAAGCUGUAUUGCUGCUUGAUAAAUAUUCAUAAAAGUAUGUGAAUAAAUGCAGUUCAACAGGGUUCUGUCAUGAAAUACCAACUAUUUCUAAAAAUCUCAUCAGCUCUGCUAAAAUUGCCUUUAUUUUUAUGGUUUACUCAAAGAGCUUAAAAAAAUCACUACUAAUGGUUAGGCAUUAGACACAGAAUUCAUAGAAGGUCUUAUUAUUGUAUUUUAAUUCCCUGUGGUAACAAUAAUGUUGCAGAAACUGGUAAAUGCUGAAGCAAGAACAGAAAGGUCAAAAGCAGCAUAAGGUAUCCGCAAGGAGUGCGGCUCUGUGCCCUGCCUAUGCUCAUUGAGAAGUCAAUGAUGCAAUACUUGGAAAGCACUUUUGGUUUUAGAUUGGGUUCAUAUUGUUUGCAUAAAACAAAUUUAAGCAAGAUGGAAGGAUUAAAAUAUAUUUUUUUAUAUCCUAAGGACUAAAAUAUAAUUUGUUGUAGAUAAGAUAAUCUUCAUUGAAGAUUUUAUUUCAAAGCACCCAAAACAGGUACAGCAGGAGAGUAGCCAAUGAUAAAUUGACCCUGCAGUAAUCCUGACGUUGUAUUUCGGUAUUGAGCUGCUGUGAUUUAGCCUGUGAAUGUUGGUUGUUUAAUCAGUUUGAAAAGCAGUUUUGUACUGGGAUGGUUCUCCCAGAAUACAUUUGUAGGGAUUUUAGCUCUUGAUGUCAUCAAAUCAAGCAUUUCUGCAAGGCUGUACCUGGCAACUGCGCUGGUUAUGAUCUAGACGCUUGAAUCUUUUUUUCUUUUUUUUUUUUCCCCAGUCGCACAGCUACUUUCAGGGCAAUUUGCGUCUGCAACCAGCAUGAAAUGAUGUAAGUGCAAACAGGUUGCGGUUCUGUUCAUUAAACACCACAUACACCUAACAGAAGGGUUGCUAUCAACCCGUCUCCUCUGGUUCUGUAAGAGAUGAAAAAAGCUGCAACUUUUUGAGAAUUGGUCAUGAAAAUGAUUGGUGUUUUCCAGUCCUCUCUGCUAGAGGCCCCUAAAUUGCAUCUCUAACGUUAUCCCUGGCCUUGUGUUGCACAGUGGUCAGGGCAGCCUGCCUCUGAGUCUCUCCGGGAACAGUAGUGGUCUCAGAGUUGUGCUAAGCACUUCGGCUUCUCCAGUUAUAAAAUCUGAUGUGUAGAAAGCCUGAACUAUGUUUCUGCCUCCCUCAGACACGGCCCGAGAGCCACCCGUAGGGAACAGCUUCGCUUUGGGGGAGGGGGCUGGGUUCUUUCUGCCGUUGGGGCCGGAGAACAGGCGAGGCGCACGACACAGGACGGGACAGGAGGGCAGCGGCCGCCUUUCUCCUGCCCAGGGCGGUGGGGACGGCCGGGCAGCGCUCCCCUGGCCGCAGCUCCCAGGGUGCGGGUGCCCGCCUGGGGUCCCCUUCCCGCAGCCCUCCCCGCCCAGGGCCGGCCGGUGCCUGAGGGGCGGGCGGUGAGUGACGGCGCCAGCGGGCGGGGAGCGACGAGGGAGCCGCGGGGCUGUCGAACGGGAGCACCAGGAAGGAGGGCGGCGGGGCCCGGGGCGAGGAAGGGCUGUGGUGUGCCUGCCCUGCGCCCGCAGCCUUGCCCCCGCUUCUCUUCUCCCCGGAGCUCGUCGGCGGGGCCGAGGACGCGACGCGUGCCGGGAACGUGCCGGAGCU
This 2986-nucleotide long non-coding RNA is filed under the name Anas zonorhyncha (Eastern spot-billed duck). Its description in RNAcentral is "lncRNA (ENSAZOG00000005836.1)". The record is from RNAcentral. Lineage: Eukaryota; Metazoa; Chordata; Aves; Anseriformes; Anatidae.